UCCGUCUGUUUUUGGUUUCGAUUCCUCGUUGCUUCUCUGAUCUAGCUCCUUGAAUUUGAUUGUAAUGACCAAUCAACCACUGACAUCAAAGAAAUCAUUGAAGAAUUUUUAAGAAACUGUUGAAACCUUCUUUCAUCAUCUUCAUGCUUCAGCAGAUUGGAGAUUUUGUCUCAAUUCCAAACCGAGAUAUCACGUCCAGAAGUGGGUUUCUGAGUCGAUUCUGAGGAAAGGGAAGUUUUUAAAGCCAAUGACUCUGGCAGAACCCACUUAUGAGAACGAUGACGCAUGGGUUUCUUAUGGUGAAUUGAUUCAUUGAUUGUAUAAAGUUUGGUUUCGAUGAUGUUUGUAUAGUAUUUGCGGUGAUAGAUGUUGCGGUAGGCUCUGUGUCGCAAGCUAAUUUCUAGGCGUGUCACUAACUCGACUGCACACAACUACAGAAAAUUUACCACCUAAUUGUACAAUGGAUGGAGUAUAACUAAAUCAAACGGCCUAAGCUAUCAAGCAUGUUAACGAAUCAGAGGAUUUGGAGUUUAUCUUGAUCGAGCGGAGUUUCAUGAUGUGUAGAAGAAGACAUUGGUGAUUUUUUUUGUCCCAUAACCACUCAACCAAGGAUGUGGUGUUGAUGACGAAAAAGGAAGGUGACUUUUUAUUUUAUUUUUUUGAAGCAAAAAGGAAGGUGAUGAUAAUGUUUUGUGUUAUCUUCUUGGUGGGAGUGAAAUGCUCAUGUGGGUAACAGUUGCUCUUUUCAUCUUCAGUUGAUUUGACAUUGUGCAUUCAGUACUGAAUUUAAAGGUAGACACUUCUGCUAAAUGCGGAAUCACUUCCGUUGAAUUAACAUUUAUUUGAUCUGAAUUGUGAAUGUUAUAGCCAGAUGGGUAGCUGCGAUGGAUGUUUUAGAUGGCCUUUUUACUUGAACUGAGCUAACAAUUUGACAAGAUUCAGUUUUGCAAAUCCAAGGUUCGCGUCUCUUUAAACCUGUAAAGUAGUUCCUCUGUAGGCUAGAAUAGAUCUUUCGUGAAGUUUUAGACAGUCAUAAUAUACAACACAUCUUUAGAUAAAGACUGCAUAGAAAACUUUGCAAUGACCUCUUUCUAUGAUUAAGUUGAACAUUUUUCAAUCUAUCCCUCUUUCUCUAUUUGCCUUAUGCUUUCAUUAUGGUUUAAUCUGCUUAGGUUCGUACUAACAACAUGAUAACUCUAUGCUUCGACUAAGUGCAAGGAACUAGAUAAUUCUAUUUUUGCUAGGAUUAUUGUUUGUCAUUUUGGAUGGAAUUAUAAGAUAACUCUAUCACUUGAUGGCAUUGGUUUUCUCUUUGUUGCUAGCAUAAGCUUGAGUUCGAUAGCUUCAGUUUGUUGUUGUGUGAAAAUUGAUUCAGACAUGCAGAUAAUUGAUCAACAUAUUCUCUUUCUUCGUAUCAAUAAAUAUCAAGUGACGAACCAGUAUCUAUACUCUUAAUCAGUUAGUCUUACAUUGAGUGUUGUUCUUAUUACUUGCCAGAUUUAAAUUACUAACCAUUUAUGAGUUUCCAUUAGUGUUGUUUCUAGAUCCAGGUGGAGCAAGUAUCUCUCCGAGGAACCACAUUAAUCUUUAGAGAUUUGAUUUCUAUGGCGGCUGUUAAUUAAUUUUAUAUAGCACUCCUAUAUAUGUAUCUUAACCGUUAUAGAAACCACACUGAUCCACGUGGUUAAUGAGGUACACCAGGUGGUUCAUUACUGAACAGUAAGUUCUUCCUCUGAUGUUUCAGGAGUAAGUUCUGUAAUAUUAUAGGUGCUUAUGGGAAAUCGCUUGACAAUCGUGUUCUUGCUGCUCCCUUUUUUGUUAUGCAUGCGCAACUAAAAGAUUAGUACUACCUGAUACCCCUAUCAAUGUUGCAAUUUCAUUCUUCUCUGGAUUUGUUACUUUGUCUGCAAUUUUGGAUUACCACUUUUAAAUAUGGGUGUAAUUCUCUAAUUACAGUUCUCAGAUUAAACCUACAAAGAUUUCAAUUCUCAAACCAGUCCGAAAUGAGGGUUUUAUAGUUAAAGAAGAAAAUGCUUUUGGUUCAUUGGUUGAAAUCAGAAGUGGGUAGUGGGUUUGCAGAAUAUGCAGCUUUGUUCCAGCUAUUUAUGACGCAGUAGUUGUCGUACCCAAAAUCAUCCCUCUCCGACAUUGGUGAUGCUUGGAGAUUUGAGUGGGGUUCUUGAAGUGUAGAUUGUUUCAAGAAAUUCUGGCAGAUUGGAGGAUGCACCUAUGGGGAGAUAAGCAAGCCAGAUAUAGCAGAAGUCACAGAUCACAGAUGAUGUUAAGUGUUUAAAAUCACAAAUGAUGUGAAUCAUAUUGGGUUUUCAGAGAACAGUUAGCUUCCCACUUUGAUUCAUUCUCUCUUCUGAACUCGGUGAGAGGCACUACCACCACCACCACCCAUUCUCAGCACCCUCAUGUUCUCGAUGACGAAAAACUAACUAUAAAAAUAGCGGUAGACGCACAAUGGGAUUUUCAUGUUGAUGAGCUAAUGCAAGUAAUUGAUCAGGAUGAAAAAUGACGCUUUCUUAUGUGGCAACUAAUUUAGGAUUUCAGGUACUAAUCUUAUAGGGAAUCUUAUUUGAAAGUCUUCUAAAUUAUUAUUUAAGUAAUUAUUGAAGGUGGGGAUCCCUGGAAAGUACCAGUUAUGAUUGUUAGGUGGCCAAUGGGGCUGCGGAUUCUCUAUCUAGACCAUCGUAAAAAAUUGAAGAUGAGAGAGAUGCAAGCCCUGGCAUGGUGUAUGUGAAUAUCACAAUUAGUAGAACGUAGUUCUUUAGGAGUUGGAUCUCAAGGAGGGAGGGAUAGGCUAAAGUGACCCUGAUGCGGCACUGCAAAUCCCUGUAUAUGGAUAUGGACUUGAAAAUUUUAUGUGGGGUAAGAAUCUUUGCUUACUGAAUUCUUCAAACCGUUUGAGUUUGGAAGAAAGCCCAUAUAAAAGGAAAGUGUACACGAGGCACUGGUUCAAUUGACCAAAAGAGAUUGAUUUUAGUUAUAUAUUAUUGAUCAGUGCAAUAUUCUCUUCAUUUGUAUAUAAUGCCCUCAGUACCACUUCUGAAAGCCAAUGUCCUAGCCAUGCUUGAACCAAAGGUUGUGGUAUGAGGGCGUGGAGUUGAUACGCUGAUUAGGAUUUCCCAAUUGAUGUGCAACCUACAACUGUGAUCGAUAUUGCAAAAAAUUCAAUUUCUCCCCUUUGAGUUUCUCAAUUGAUUGUUCUCGAAGAGGAGUUUCUUCCGUUACAAGAUACAAAAUCCUCAAUUUAUCGGUUACAUUAACAUUAAAACCCUCUGCGGGGGUUGGAUGAUUUACCAAAGAAAUAGUGUCCACAGCUGAAUUACCGAGAUGGUUCUCAAUAUAGAAGCUCAAUUGCGAUCGCUGCUCUAAAAAGCAAUCGAUUGCCAGGGGCACUGUUAGAUAAAUGAACUUGGAUAUGUAGGGUGAGUAUUUUUUCUUAUAGAAGGAUUGGAACUUUCAUGUAAUUGUAAAAGUUUUUAUCGAACCUGAUUAUGGUCAAGAUGACAAUGUUAUAAAACUUGGAUGGCAAUGUAAGGAAAUAUCAUCUUUUACCA
Long non-coding RNA from Papaver somniferum (opium poppy), 3566 nucleotides. RefSeq lists it as uncharacterized. The record is from RefSeq and is a predicted model, not a curated record. The transcript is spliced from 11 exons. NCBI's taxonomy places the organism in Eukaryota, Viridiplantae, Streptophyta, Magnoliopsida, Ranunculales, Papaveraceae.